GGGUUGUGAGGUUAAGCGACCAAGCGUACACGGUGGAUGCCCUGGCAGUCAGAGGCGAUGAAGGACGUGCUAAUCUGCGAAAAGCGCCGGCAAGGUGAUAUGAACCGCUACAGCCGGCGAUGUCCGAAUGGGGAAACCCGGU
Molecule: ribosomal RNA, 142 nt
Filed under: Pantoea sp. BRM17
Lineage: Bacteria; Pseudomonadati; Pseudomonadota; Gammaproteobacteria; Enterobacterales; Erwiniaceae
Description: partial 23S ribosomal RNA
Rfam family: Bacterial large subunit ribosomal RNA
Source: RNAcentral